UUUUAUACAGAUACGUCAUCAGAGAUGUAAAUGGCAACGCAGUUGUAGUGGAAUCCGUGGAAUGAACCACUAAUCUAGGGGGGAAAUGAAGCAAAGUUACAUUAUCUGGAGAUAAUUGUGCGUGUUAUUGGUGGAAUUGGUGACCUUUUCAAAAUAUAUUCUUUGGUGGAUUGUUCUUUAUACAUGCACAUGUAAUAAAAAAAACAUUUAGGGGAGCUUAUUGUACUGAUGAUUUGCUAGGAUUUCAUUUUUUUCUCAAAUCUCACCUUAUUGGAUCUAUCAUUUAUGAAAAUGAUCUCAAAUCUUUGGUUAUUGGACUUAUCGUUUAUACAAACUCUAUCAAAUCCUCUC
This 351-nucleotide long non-coding RNA is filed under the name Brassica rapa (field mustard). RNAcentral's name for it is "long non-coding RNA (BRAP_LNC004820)". Lineage: Eukaryota; Viridiplantae; Streptophyta; Magnoliopsida; Brassicales; Brassicaceae. The record is from RNAcentral.